AUUGAACGCUGGCGGCAGGCCUAACACAUGCAAGUCGAGCGGAAGAAGGGAGCUUGCUCCUGGAUUCAGCGGCGGACGGGUGAGUAAUGCCUAGGAAUCUGCGUGGUAGUGGGGGAUAACGUCCGGAAACGGGCGCUAAUACCGCAUACGCCCUGAGGGAGAAAGUGGGGGAUCUUCGGACCUCACGCUAUCAGAUGAGCCUAGGUCGGAUUAGCUAGUUGGUGGGGUAAAGGCCUACCAAGGCGACGAUCCGUAGCUGGUCUGAGAGGAUGAUCAGUCACACUGGAACUGAGACACGGUCCAGACUCCUACGGGAGGCAGCAGUGGGGAAUAUUGGACAAUGGGCGAAAGCCUGAUCCAGCCAUGCCGCGUGUGUGAAGAAGGUCUUCGGAUUGUAAAGCACUUUUGUUUGGAAAGAAAGGCAGUAAGUUAAUACCUUGCUGUUUUGACGUUACCAACAGAAUAAGCACCGGCUAACUUCGUG
This 484-nucleotide ribosomal RNA is filed under the name uncultured bacterium. Its description in RNAcentral is "partial 16S ribosomal RNA". It matches the Rfam family "Bacterial small subunit ribosomal RNA", at positions 30 to 507 of the family's 1533-position model. The record is from RNAcentral.